RNAcentral lists this ribosomal RNA (468 nucleotides) under uncultured bacterium. RNAcentral's name for it is "partial 16S ribosomal RNA". It matches the Rfam family "Bacterial small subunit ribosomal RNA", at positions 28 to 507 of the family's 1533-position model. The record is from RNAcentral.
GACGAACGCUGGCGGCGUGCUUAACACAUGCAAGUCGAACGGAAAGGCCCUGCUUUUGUGGUGUUCUCGAUUGGCGAACGGGUGAGUAACACGUGUGUAACCUGCCCUUGACUUUGGGAUAACUUCAGGAAACUGGGGCUAAUACCGGAUAGGAGCUCCUGCUGCAUUGUGGGGGUUGGAUAGUUUCGGCGGUUGGGGAUGGACUCGCGGCUUAUCAGCUUGUUGGUGGGGUAGUGGCUUACCAAGGCUUUGACGGGUAGCCGGCCUGAGAGGGUGACCGGCCACCUUGGGACUGAGAUACGGCCCAGACUCCUACGGGAGGCAGCAGUGGGGAAUAUUGCACAAUGGGCGGAAGCCUGAUGAAGAAACGCUGCGUGCGGGAUGACGGCCUUCGGGUUGUAAACCGCUUUAGCCUGUGACGAAGCGUGAGUGACGGUAAUGGGUAAAGAAGCACCGGCUAACUACGUG